GGCGUUCUGGGCUUCCCGACAGGAGUAACUUAUUCUCGGGGCCUUAUUGAUUCCUAGGGAGCUGUCCCUGGCCAGACCCGUGGGUUUGGACACACGGCGCCCACCUACUUUGUAGGUCCCGGGAUCGAUCUCUCCACCGGUCGUCCUGGAUCGCCA
This 156-nucleotide small RNA is filed under the name Tianweitania sediminis. RNAcentral describes it as "6S / SsrS RNA". It matches the Rfam family "6S / SsrS RNA". From Rfam's summary of the family: E. coli 6S RNA was the first non coding RNA to be sequenced, but its function was unknown until recently. It consists of 184 nucleotides that fold into an extended hairpin structure with a large single-stranded internal bulge. Lineage: Bacteria; Pseudomonadati; Pseudomonadota; Alphaproteobacteria; Hyphomicrobiales; Phyllobacteriaceae. RNAcentral also lists the same sequence under 1 other name. The record is from Rfam by way of RNAcentral.